CUGCCUUAGACAAAGGACGCACGGGAGCUCCACCACACCUAAAACCACGCUUUGAAGGAUCUGCCAAGCUCACUCUUAAUCAUGAGAAAGAAAUUACCCACAUGGAGACAGCAGAAAAUGAGAAAGUAGAGAUCGUGCUGAGAAUAAUUCCAGCGAGUGCCAAGGGGCUAGUUGAGGAAUGGCUUCAUGAGG
Molecule: long non-coding RNA, 192 nt
Filed under: Meriones unguiculatus (Mongolian gerbil)
Lineage: Eukaryota; Metazoa; Chordata; Mammalia; Rodentia; Muridae
Description: Rhabdomyosarcoma 2 associated transcript conserved region 9 (ENSMUGG00000020326.1)
Rfam family: Rhabdomyosarcoma 2 associated transcript conserved region 9
Source: RNAcentral